GCCAGGCUGGGUGUUGUCUUGAUCAAAAUUAUUCUGUUCAGCAUUUGCUUGAGAGCCUUUAUAGAUCAGGGAAAAUAUGAUGUGGGAAUCAUGUCAAAACAGUGGACAUUAUCCUCCAUCGGAAAAAAAUGGAGGGGGUACAAGUGUGAAUUAAAAAAUGAAUACUACUCGGUUAGGGAUUCAGAUGAAGAAAGAUUGGCAAACCCACCACCUGAUGUUGAAAAUGAGCAUUGGGAAUUUUUGGUCAGGCAUUGGGGUACGCCUAUGGCGAAGGAGGUCAGCAAAAAAAAUAAAGAACGUCGUGGGAAGCAGACAAUGAUGCAUAUUACAGGGACAAAAAGCUUUGCAUGUGUUUCU
Long non-coding RNA from Cornus florida, 357 nucleotides. RefSeq lists it as uncharacterized. NCBI's taxonomy places the organism in Eukaryota, Viridiplantae, Streptophyta, Magnoliopsida, Cornales, Cornaceae. The record is from RefSeq and is a predicted model, not a curated record. The transcript has 3 exons.